UUGGAGGGCAAGUCUGGUGCCAGCAGCCGCGGUAAUUCCAGCUCCAAUAGCGUAUAUUAAAGUUGUUGCAGUUAAAAAGCUCGUAGUUGAAUUUCGGGGUUAGUAGGUUGGUCAUGCCUCCGGUAUGUACUGGCCUCACUGAUUCCUCCUUCCUGAUGAACCGUAAUGCCAUUAAUUUGUGUUGCGGGGAAUUUGGACUGUUACUUUGAAAAAAUUAGAGUGUUUAAAGCAGGC
RNAcentral lists this ribosomal RNA (234 nucleotides) under uncultured Glomus. RNAcentral describes it as "partial 18S ribosomal RNA". It matches the Rfam family "Eukaryotic small subunit ribosomal RNA", at positions 548 to 785 of the family's 1831-position model. The record is from RNAcentral. Lineage: Eukaryota; Fungi; Glomeromycota; Glomeromycetes; Glomerales; Glomeraceae.